CUUGAUCAGGUAUGAAAUGAUUUUAAACAUUUAAACGAUAAAAAUAAUCAAAAAAAUAAUUACAAAAUAUGAAAUAGGGGGCUCGGAUUCAUCUUUUGUCAAUCACAAGAACAAACCAUAGGUCUUCCCUCUUUAUGCCCAAAUCCCAUCCUAAGAGAUAGACAUGGCUGCAGUGGUUGCCAUGAAGGCCAUCCAAACUGUCUCGCCAUCAUCCUAUUAAGAUUGGAAAACCAAGCAUUGAAAGAGAUCGUAAAGCCUUUAUGAUUCAUACUUAUGCAUAAGAAUAUGUUAUUUGCCAACACCAUGGAGAAACAAUCUUAUGUUGUAAAGCCCAAAUGGUGAUUGGUCAAAUGCAUAAUUGACUUUUAUUUAUCAUCAUAGCCUCUUCAUAAUUCAAAAGCAAUAUACUGAGAAGCAAAGAUGAAAUCAAUACAGUGAAAUUUAUAAAAAGAAAAUGUAAAUAAUGAAAGCUAUGAAAGGAUAAAAAGAAAAAGGUUGGAAGAAAAGAAACAAUCCUCUUGAAUGUAUUAUUUCCCCACACCAAAACAAGCUCCAUAUCCCCAAAAUACCUCAGUUAAAUAAGAACCCCAAAUGAGAAUAAAAAACUAGAGAACUAAUUGUUGUUUGCAGCAGACAGUGAUCAUUUAUGAUCAUUUUACAUCAUCAAGCUUAACCAAUGCAGGGGUAACAAUGCCAUCAACACAAUCGCAAUCCCUACUACCUGAACAAGCAUUUGCACAAACGGCACAAAGAAUCAUUUGCUAUACAGGGCAUAGGAUUUAGGCUCUAAAUAACAAACAAGUACAAACAGUAGCAAAACAACAAAGAUAGCUUGUUGUAGCCAAACUCAAGACUCUCUUUAACUGGACCAAUUAUCACAUCGCCAUUUUUUUUACCUCAAUUGAUUUUUAACAGCCGGAUAAUAAUUCUUAAAAGUAAUAAAACUAACAUAAUGUUGAAGAUAACAUGUAAAUUUCUCAUAUAAUCUUAAAGUGACCCGAAUCUCAGAUGAAAAAAAAAAACCUUGAAACAAAAUUAUGAAAGCCCACCGAACUUGUAAAACUUUAAAAAUGUCAUUUUGUUGACAAAUAAUUUUUUCUAUAAUGUCUAUAUCAAAACAAUUCUCAGAAAAAUUAACACCACUUAAGCAAAUAUACUAUGAGUACAUUUAAAAUAAUUAAACCAAGAAAAAAAAGAAAUGGAGAAAACAUGUAUAGUUUAACCCUUGAUCAGGCAUGAAAUGAUUUUAAACAUUUAAAUAGUAAAAAUAAUCAAAAGAACCAUUACAAAAUAAGAAAUAGGAGGCUCAGAUUCAUCUUUUGUCAAUCAUAAGAACAGACCAUAGGUCUUCCCUCUUCUUGCCCAAAUCUCAUCCUAAGAGAUAGACAUGGCUGCAGUGGUUGCCAUGAAGGCCAUCCAUACUGCCUCGCCAUCAUCCUAUUAAGAUUGAAAAAUCGAGCAUUGAAAGAGAUUACAAAGCCUUAAUGCUUCAUAAUAUGCAUAAGAAUCUGUGACUUGCCAACACCAUGGAGAAACAAUCUUGUGUUUAAAAGCUCAAAUGGUGAUUAGUCAAAUCCAUCAUUGACUUUUAUUUAUCAUCAUAGCCUCUUCAUAAUUCAAAAGCAAGAUACUGAGAAGCAAAGAUGAAAUCAAUACAGUGAAAUUUACAAAAAGAAAACAUAAAUAAUCAAAGCCAUGAAAGGAUAAAAAGAAAAAG
RNAcentral lists this long non-coding RNA (1717 nucleotides) under Musa acuminata (dwarf banana). RNAcentral describes it as "long non-coding RNA (MACU_LNC010452)". Lineage: Eukaryota; Viridiplantae; Streptophyta; Magnoliopsida; Zingiberales; Musaceae. The record is from RNAcentral.